This 484-nucleotide ribosomal RNA is filed under the name uncultured bacterium. Its description in RNAcentral is "partial 16S ribosomal RNA". It matches the Rfam family "Bacterial small subunit ribosomal RNA", at positions 30 to 507 of the family's 1533-position model. The record is from RNAcentral.
AUUGAACGCUGGCGGCAGGCCUAACACAUGCCAGUCGAGCGGAUGAAGGGAGCUUGCUCCUGGAUUCAGCGGCGGACGGGUGAGUAAUGCCUAGGAAUCUGCCUUGUAGUGGGGGAUAACGUCCGGAAACGGGCGCUAAUACCGCAUACGUCCUGAGGGAGAAAGUGGGGGAUCUUCGGACCUCACGCUAUCAGAUGAGCCUAGGUCGGAUUAGCUAGUUGGUGGGGUAAAGGCCUACCAAGGCGACGAUCCGUAACUGGUCUGAGAGGGUGAUCAGUCACACUGGAACUGAGACACGGUCCAGACUCCUACGGGAGGCAGCAGUGGGGAAUAUUGGACAAUGGGCGAAAGCCUGAUCCAGCCAUGCCGCGUGUGUGAAGAAGGUCUUCGGAUUGUAAAGCACUUUAAGUUGGGAAGAAGGGAAGUAAGUUAAUACCUUGCUGUUUUGACGUUACCAACAGAAUAAGCACCGGCUAACUUCGUG